UACAGGGGGGGCAAGCGUUGUUCGGAAUUACUGGGCGUAAAGGGUCAGUAGGCGGCCAACUAAGUCCGACGUGAAAUCCCAAAGCUUAACUUUGGAACUGCGUCGGAUACUGGAUGGCUUGAAUUCGGGAGAGGGAUGCAGAAUUCCAGGUGUAGCGGUGAAAUGCGUAGAUAUCUGGAGGAAUACCGGUGGCGAAGGCGGCAUCCUGGACCAUUACUGACGCUGAGGCGCGAAAGCUAGGGGAGCAAACGGG
RNAcentral lists this ribosomal RNA (253 nucleotides) under uncultured bacterium. RNAcentral describes it as "partial 16S ribosomal RNA". It matches the Rfam family "Bacterial small subunit ribosomal RNA", at positions 524 to 776 of the family's 1533-position model. The record is from RNAcentral.